This 252-nucleotide ribosomal RNA is filed under the name uncultured bacterium. Its description in RNAcentral is "partial 16S ribosomal RNA". It matches the Rfam family "Bacterial small subunit ribosomal RNA", at positions 525 to 776 of the family's 1533-position model. The record is from RNAcentral.
ACGUAGGUGGCAAGCGUUGUCCGGAAUUACUGGGUGUAAAGGGCGUGUAGGCGGGUUAUCAAGUCAGAUGUGAAAUUCCAGGGCUCAACCCUGGCGCUGCAUCUGAAACUGAUGAUCUUGAGUACUGGAGAGGGAAGCGGAAUUCCUAGUGUAGCGGUGAAAUGCGUAGAUAUUAGGAGGAACACCAGUGGCGAAGGCGGCUUUCUGGACAGUAACUGACGCUGAGGCGCGAAAGCGUGGGGAGCAAACAGG